RNAcentral lists this ribosomal RNA (498 nucleotides) under uncultured bacterium. Its description in RNAcentral is "bacterial SSU rRNA". It matches the Rfam family "Bacterial small subunit ribosomal RNA", at positions 8 to 551 of the family's 1533-position model. The record is from RNAcentral.
AGAGUUUGAUCCUGGCUCAGAACGAACGCUGGCGGCAUGCCUAACACAUGCAAGUCGAACGAUGCUUUCGGGCAUAGUGGCGCACGGGUGCGUAACGCGUGGGAAUCUGCCCUUAGGUUCGGAAUAACAGUUAGAAAUGACUGCUAAUACCGGAUGAUGUCGAUAAGACCAAAGAUUUAUCGCCUGAGGAUGAGCCCGCGUAGGAUUAGCUAGUUGGUGUGGUAAAGGCGCACCAAGGCGACGAUCCUUAGCUGGUCUGAGAGGAUGAUCAGCCACACUGGGACUGAGACACGGCCCAGACUCCUACGGGAGGCAGCAGUGGGGAAUAUUGGACAAUGGGCGCAAGCCUGAUCCAGCAAUGCCGCGUGAGUGAUGAAGGCCUUAGGGUUGUAAAGCUCUUUUACCCGGGAUGAUAAUGACAGUACCGGGAGAAUAAGCCCCGGCUAACUCCGUGCCAGCAGCCGCGGUAAUACGGAGGGGGCUAGCGUUGUUCGGAAU